Molecule: ribosomal RNA, 446 nt
Filed under: uncultured bacterium
Lineage: Bacteria
Description: partial 16S ribosomal RNA
Rfam family: Bacterial small subunit ribosomal RNA
Source: RNAcentral
CCUACGGGUAGCAGCAGUCGAGAAUCAUUCACAAUGGGGGAAACCCUGAUGGUGCGACGCCGCGUGGGGGAAUGAAGGUCUUCGGAUUGUAAACCCCUGUCAUGUGGGAGCAAAUUAAAAAGAUAGUACCACAAGAGGAAGAGACGGCUAACUCGGUGCCAGCAGCCGCGGUAAUACAGAGGUCUCAAGCGUUGUUCGGAAUCACUGGGCGUAAAGCGUGCGUAGGCUGUUUCGUAAGUCGUGUGUGAAAGGCGCGGGCUCAACCCGCGGACGGCACAUGAUACUGCGAGACUAGAGUAAGGGAGGGGGAAGCGGAAUGCUCGGUGUAGCAGUGAAAUGCGUAGAGAUCGAGAGGAACACUCGUGGCGAAGGCGGGUUCCUGGACAUUAACUGACGCUGAGGCACGAAGGCCAGGGGAGCGAAAGGGAUUAGAUACCCCAGUAGUC